GGUGAUGUAGGCCUUGCCUCUUUGGUGGGAUCCCACCUCUUUUUCUUAUUGAACUUUUACACUUGUCUAAAUCAGUUAUUUAUGUUAAUCUCCUCUGGCUUACUGUAUCUUUCUUAUCACUAUAGCAUCCCAUAACCUCUCUCUCUCUCUCAUCAUCUUAUUCUUUUUUCUUCUUAUAGAAUUCUCCCUCUCUCAUCACUAAUUCUCCUUGCUUCCUCAUGCAGCUAGCCUGCAUGUUUUUAGUGGGAAACGAGAGACACACACCCCAACGGUAUCAUUUUCUGCUUCGUGGAAAUACACUUUGUUCUUAUUAUUUGUCCAUAUAAUGACUGUGACAAAAUUUGGAGGAAAAUUUGCCUAUAUAUAUCUAGGAUUCAAGAGUGCAAGACCUUAGACAACGUGCUACUUUAAGCAAUUUCUGUUAUUAUAUUUUUGGUGGAUCGUGUAAACAUGAAGACUCGACGUCUUCUUUUUUCUUUGGUAGACAAUUGUAGUGCUUCCCACCUUUCACUUUAACCAUAUAUCUUGAUUAGUUUUUGAUUUGUUUAUGGUUUCCUACAAAUGGAUUCUUACAUUAUAUGCAUGUCAGUUCUUGUCCUGCACCACUUCUCUAUUUUGUUUUUAUACGGUAAUAUAUUGUUUCUUUUUCCACUUAGCUGAUGGAAAAUCUCUGCAUAUGGAGGAAUGGAUCUCAUGCCCAAAAAAAGUUACAUUUUCCUUGUCGGAAGCGGACAUGAGCUCUUUCUGGAUUCUGCUACAACUCUACAUUGAAUAUUUG
This 778-nucleotide long non-coding RNA is filed under the name Salvia miltiorrhiza (redroot sage). Its description in RNAcentral is "long non-coding RNA (SMIL_LNC000446)". The record is from RNAcentral. Lineage: Eukaryota; Viridiplantae; Streptophyta; Magnoliopsida; Lamiales; Lamiaceae.